AAUCAACGCUGGCGGCGCGCCUAACACAUGCAAGUCGAACGAGAAAGUGGAGCAAUCCAUGAGUAAAGUGGCGUACGGGUGAGUAACACGUGGAUAACCUGCCCUUUAGUGGGGAAUACCGUUGGGAAACCGACGACAAUACCGCAUAAGCUCGAGAGAGGAAAGCAGCAAUGCGCUGAAGGAGGGGUCCGCGGUCGAUUAGCUGGUUGGUGAGGUAAUGGCUCACCAAGGCUGUGAUCGAUAGCCGGCCUGAGAGGGCACACGGCCACACUGGCACUGAAACACGGGCCAGACUCCUACGGGAGGCAGCAGUGGGGAAUCUUGCACAAUGGGGGAAACCCUGAUGCAGCGACGCCGCGUGAGCGAUGAAGCCCUUCGGGGUGUAAAGCUCUUUUGUGCGGGAAGAUAAUGACGGUACCGCAAGAAUAA
This 429-nucleotide ribosomal RNA is filed under the name uncultured bacterium. RNAcentral's name for it is "bacterial SSU rRNA". It matches the Rfam family "Bacterial small subunit ribosomal RNA", at positions 32 to 489 of the family's 1533-position model. The record is from RNAcentral.